Molecule: ribosomal RNA, 460 nt
Filed under: uncultured bacterium
Lineage: Bacteria
Description: partial 16S ribosomal RNA
Rfam family: Bacterial small subunit ribosomal RNA
Source: RNAcentral
CCUACGGGAGGCAGCAGUGAGGAAUAUUGGUCAAUGGGCGCGAGCCUGAACCAGCCAAGUCGCGUGAGGGAGGACGGCCCUACGGGUUGUAAACCUCUUUUGCCGGGGAGCAACGGGCGUCACGUGUGGCGUCACUGAGAGUACCCGGAGAAAAAGCAUCGGCUAACUCCGUGCCAGCAGCCGCGGUAAUACGGGGGAUGCGAGGUUUAUCCGGAUUUAUUGGGUUUAAAGGGUGCGUAGGCGGAUCGUUAAGUCAGUGGUCAAAUUCAGGGGCUCAACCCCGUCCCGCCAUUGAUACUGGCGAUCUUGAGUGGAAGAGAGGUAGGCGGAAUGCGUGGUGUAGCGGUGAAAUGCAUAGAUAUCACGCAGAACCCCGAUUGCGAAGGCAGCAUGCCGGCUUCCGACUGACGCUGAAGCACGAAAGCGUGGGGAUCGAACAGGAUUAGAUACCCUAGUAGUC